ACUUUAAAACAGAUUUUUACCCGUAUAAAUCCUUUAUCGUUAUUAUACAGAUAAUAUAAAGAGGAGAGAAAUAAAUCAUUAUAGCAAAUAAUAUAGCAAAAAAUAAAGUGAGCUGCUUAUAGGAUAUCUAUUGAUUUUAGUAACUGUAAAUUCCCAAAGUAAGUUUGAAUCACUUUAUAUAGCAUAAGCAGGGUCACAUUUAGGUGUACAUUUUUGUGAUUAUAUUCUCAGAUGGUGUGUAAGCCUUAUUGAUUUAUCACUGGAUAUUGCUGUGUUUUUAUGUUCAGUGUUCUUUAUAUAGUAACAGUAGAAAAGAGAAUAAUUAUAAAGGUAUUUGCAAGGUUUUUUAAAAGAUGGUUUUCAUUUGAAAACUACAUUGUUAAUCUUGACAUGAAUAUUUGCCUGUCUACAGCUGAAGAACUGAAGGACUGAAUCUAGAUUGGGAUUAGAGAUGAAGUAAUAGCCCUGCACUCAAGGAAUUCCUGGUUGAGUGGUACUGGUGGACCUGGUGACUUCUGUGCUUCUCACCAAGAGGAACAUUGCACUUAAAGCAUCUGACUCUGCUCUUCAUUCCCCUUCUUGGUCCUCCUUGUGGACGAAGGACAAAUGGCAUAUCAAGUAGAUGAAAUCUCAAAGAGGCUGAUGCCCAAGGGCCUUUUUGACCAGGGGUUGGGGCCAUUGAAGAAGGCAGACCUAGAAACUGGCUGCUGGGGUCUCUUGUGACAGAAAUGAUUAGGAGAUAAUUUACAGUUCAGAGGCUCUUUGCAGCUGUCUCCUCCUGAUCUAAUAGGAUUUCCUGUCUGCAUUUCUUUGGGGAUGUCAGCAGCUGCAGUGGGAGGCCCCAUUUGGAACUCAGGCCCAAGAUCUAUCUCUAACACAGAGUACUAAGAGUCCUAUACUUUGGGGGAACAUAAAGUUUAUGCUAAGUCAUCAUUAGCUCUUCUCUCUGCCCUUAACUUGUUAGGAACCAAAAGAGAGGGUGAUGCUCCCUAACUGCACAACAGGUACUAAUGGAGAUAUGAUUGAAAAGUGCCAGAUUCUGAGGGCCUUGCUUGUGAUUUCUGCCCCCAUCAAAUUUCAUCUUCGUGUGUGAGCAGCAGAAAGCCUUUUUGCACACCCUGGGAGGUAUGGGUGUGACUGCUGACGUGAUAAGGAAUUUCUUUAAUAAGGCAUGAUGGGUUCUGCAGUAUGGGAGAGCUGAGAGGCUGGGCAUGGCUGCAGGGUUUCAAAAAGUGAAAUGAAGACCAGUAGUGACGUAUAAUUAAAAUUUUUUCUAUUCUG
Molecule: non-coding RNA, 1281 nt
Organism: Manis javanica (Malayan pangolin)
Lineage: Eukaryota; Metazoa; Chordata; Mammalia; Pholidota; Manidae
Source: RefSeq, a predicted model, not a curated record